GUGAGGAAUAUUGGACAAUGGGCGCAAGCCUGAUCCAGCCAUGCCGCGUGCAGGAAGACGCAUCUAUGGUGUGUAAACUGCUUUUGUACGGGAAGAAACACUCCCUCGUGAGGGAGCUUGACGGUACCGUAAGAAUAAGGAUCGGCUAACUCCGUGCCAGCAGCCGCGGUAAUACGGAGGAUCCAAGCGUUAUCCGGAAUCCUUGGGUUUAAAGGGUCCGUAGGCGGUUUAAUAAGUCAGUGGUGAAAGCCCAUCGCUCAACGAUGGAACGGCCAUUGAUACUGUUAGACAUGAAUUACAAGGAAGUAACUAGAAUAUGUAGUGUAGCGGUGAAAUGCUUAGAUAUUACAUGGAAUACCAAUUGCGAAGGCAGGUUACUACUUGUGGAUUGACGCUGAUGGACGAAAGCGUGGGGAGCGAACAGGAUUAGAUACCCUGGUAGUCC
This 445-nucleotide ribosomal RNA is filed under the name uncultured bacterium. RNAcentral describes it as "partial 16S ribosomal RNA". It matches the Rfam family "Bacterial small subunit ribosomal RNA", at positions 354 to 796 of the family's 1533-position model. The record is from RNAcentral.